AAUGAACGCUGGCGGCAGGCUUAACACAUGCAAGUCGAACGAGUGGCGGACGGGAUAGUAAUGCUUGGGACUCUGGCUUAUGGCGGGGGAUAACGACGGGAAACUGUCGCUAAUCCCGCGUACCAUAGGAUGAGCCCAUGUUGGAUUAGGUAGUUGGUGGGGUAAUGGCCUACCAAGCCGACGACCUCUAGCUGGUCUGAGCGGAUGACCAGCCACACCGGGACUGAGAAACGGCCCUGACUCCGACGGGAGGCAGCAGAGGGGAAUAUUGCGCAAUGGGGGCAAACUAACGCAGCCAUGCCGCGUGAAUGAAGAGGGCCUUCGGGUUGUAAAGUUCUAUAGGUGACGAGGCGUUAAUCAGAGAAGAAGCCCCGGCUAAAUCAGUGCCAGCAGGCGCGGUAAUAC
This 405-nucleotide ribosomal RNA is filed under the name uncultured bacterium. Its description in RNAcentral is "partial 16S ribosomal RNA". It matches the Rfam family "Bacterial small subunit ribosomal RNA", at positions 29 to 526 of the family's 1533-position model. The record is from RNAcentral.